CUAUUUCAGGCAAGAUAAAAACAAAGCACAACAGUGAAUUAGUCAUUCCUAUUGCUUUAAUUACAGCAGCACAGCUUCUGCCUGAAGAAGGUGGAGGUUGGACCUCACCAGGUGGGAGCAGUUGAGGGUGAAUCCGAGGCGAGGAGGUGAAGGCGGCGUGGAGGCCGGCGUCCACUCUGCCAAGGGGCUCGGCUGUGAAGAGGACAGAGAGGGUCAGACUGCUGCACAUCUGACUCUACGGGCAGACGGAAGGAAAAAGAUGGGUCCCAACAAGAGCCUCCCCAGGGCCUUUGCCCAGGCUUCAGAGCAGGCCCCUGAUCCCAUAAACACCUGCCUACUACACUCGUGGAGAUUUGGCCUUCAGGCUCCCCUGCACCUGCUUUUCUGCCCUAGCCCAUUGGUGUAAUUCCUGCUGUCAAGUGUUGGCAUUCCUGUAACUUAAGAUGACAUAAAUAGGACUAAGGGACAGUCCUACUGACAACAGCCCUAUUUUGAAGACCAGGAUACCCACAAAGGAUUUUGCAGAAGAAGCCUUUCAAGUUUCCUAAUAAGAUGUCCAAAAUGCAGCCAUGUGCAGAAGAUCAAGCCAUCUGUUACUUCUCCUGGACCUUGGAACAGAAGUCAGAGCUCCUGCUUUAGCUAACUUCAUUGUUUCUCCAGCUAAAUCAAAAUUUACAGGUAGGUGAAACAGGAGGUUUGCCCUAAGAUGCCUCUAGCUAUUUUACCUAACCCAUUACUCUCCCCACCUUUUGUCAUAUUUUCCCUCCCUCUCCAUUAAUUUGCCGUAAAGCUGACAGCCUUUGG
Macaca mulatta (Rhesus monkey) is the source of this 804-nucleotide non-coding RNA. NCBI's taxonomy places the organism in Eukaryota, Metazoa, Chordata, Mammalia, Primates, Cercopithecidae. The record is from RefSeq and is a predicted model, not a curated record.